This 253-nucleotide ribosomal RNA is filed under the name uncultured bacterium. RNAcentral's name for it is "partial 16S ribosomal RNA". It matches the Rfam family "Bacterial small subunit ribosomal RNA", at positions 524 to 776 of the family's 1533-position model. The record is from RNAcentral.
UACGGAGGGUGCGAGCGUUAUCCGGAAUUACUGGGUUUAAAGGGUGCGUAGGCGGCUUAGUAAGUCAGGAGUGAAAGUUUGCGGCUCAACCGUAAAAUUGCUUUUGAUACUGCUAGGCUGGAAUUAGGAUGAGGUCAGCGGAAUGUGGCAUGUAGCGGUGAAAUGCAUAGAUAUGCCAUAGAACACCAAUUGCGAAGGCAGCUGGCUAGACCUGGAUUGACGCUGAGGCACGAAAGCGUGGGGAGCGAACAGG